This 77-nucleotide transfer RNA is filed under the name Armatimonadetes bacterium RBG_16_58_9. Its description in RNAcentral is "tRNA-Met". It matches the Rfam family "tRNA". From Rfam's summary of the family: Transfer RNA (tRNA) molecules are approximately 80 nucleotides in length. The record is from RNAcentral. Lineage: Bacteria; Bacillati; Armatimonadota.
CGCGGGGUGGAGCAGUCUGGUAGCUCGUCGGGCUCAUAACCCGAAGGUCGAAGGUUCAAAUCCUUCCCCCGCUCCCA